Molecule: ribosomal RNA, 288 nt
Filed under: Citrobacter freundii
Lineage: Bacteria; Pseudomonadati; Pseudomonadota; Gammaproteobacteria; Enterobacterales; Enterobacteriaceae
Description: partial 16S ribosomal RNA
Rfam family: Bacterial small subunit ribosomal RNA
Source: RNAcentral
CGCGAAAGCAAGCGGACCUCAUAAAGUAUGUCGUAGUCCGGAUUGGAGUCUGCAACUCGACUCCAUGAAGUCGGAAUCGCUAGUAAUCGUGGAUCAGAAUGCCACGGUGAAUACGUUCCCGGGCCUUGUACACACCGCCCGUCACACCAUGGGAGUGGGUUGCAAAAGAAGUAGGUAGCUUAACCUUCGGGAGGGCGCUUACCACUUUGUGAUUCAUGACUGGGGUGAAGUCGUAACAAGGUAACCGUAGGGGAACCUGCGGUUGGAUCACCUCCUUACCUUAAAGAA